This 1794-nucleotide ribosomal RNA is filed under the name Haploperla brevis. RNAcentral's name for it is "partial 28S ribosomal RNA". It matches the Rfam family "Eukaryotic large subunit ribosomal RNA", at positions 24 to 1895 of the family's 3401-position model. The record is from RNAcentral. Lineage: Eukaryota; Metazoa; Arthropoda; Insecta; Plecoptera; Chloroperlidae.
UCCCGCGUAAUUUAAGCAUAUUAAUAAGCGGAGGAAAAGAAACUAACAAGGAUUCCCUUAGUAGCUGCGAGCGAACAGGGAGGAGCCCAGCACUGAAUCCUGCGCGCAAAGCACGCGUCUGGAAAUGUAGUGUUUGGGAGGGCCCGAUUAUCUCGCCGGUGGGCGUCCGUCCAAGUCCGUCUUGAAAGCGGCCACAGCCCGUAGAGGGUGCCAGGCCCGUAUGACGACGCAUACAAACACCGGCGAAAGGGUCUCAGAGUUCAAGAGUACGUGAAACCGUUUGGGGGUAAACGGGCGAGAUCUGGAAAAUCGAAGCGAGAGAUUCACGUCCGCACGCCUUGCGUAUCGUGGCUCCCGUCGAUGGUCGCGUGUCGUCCGCCGUGUCGUGCCGCAAGGUACGUGCGCGCGUGUCGCUCCGUCACGACGGUAGGGUCUACGUUCGUCGGCGUCGGGCUGCACUUCUCUCGUUGUAGUACGUCGCGACCCGUUGGGCGUGUGUCAAUUGGGGCCCGCCGUGGAGGUGGUUCGUGCGUGGCGGCGUGUCGCGACCUCGGUCGUGUCCCCCCCGCAUAGCCAACCGUGCGGUCGCCCGACACACUCUGGCCCGACGGUUACGAGUUGUGAACGGAGUUGGCGUUUCGCAAAAGACUUACCNNNNNNNNNNNNNNNNNNNNNNNNNNNNNNNNNNNNNNNNNNNNNNNNNNNNNNNNNNNNNNNNNNNNNNNNNNNNGACCCGUCUUGAAGCACGGACCAAGGAGUCUAACAUGUACGCGAGUCAUUGGGACCGCACUAAACCUAAAGGCGAAAUGAAAGUAAAGGUCGCGGCGCAAGCCCGGCCCACAGAGGGGAGACGUCCGCGCGCCGAGAGGCCGCGGUCAGCAUCCCCGGGGCGUCUCGUUGUCAUUGCGACACAGUAGGCGCACCCAGAGCGUACACGUUGGGACCCGAAAGAUGGUGAACUAUGCCUGGUCAGGUCGAAGUCAGGGGAAACCUGGCACUCGGAGUUUAUCACGUAGUGUCGUCGUUGCCUAGCGCAAUAGACACACCACCAGUCUCAUCUGGUAAAGCGAAUGAUUAGAGGCCUUGGGGCCGAAACGACCUCAACCUAUUCUCAAACUUUAAAUGGGUGAGAAAGUCGACUUGCUUAAAUGUAUGAAGUCGACGCGUCCCGCUGCGGCGGGCGCGUGAGCGGAUGAACGAGUGCCAAGUGGGCCAUUUUUGGUAAGCAGAACUGGUGCUGUGGGAUGAACCAAACGUCGAGUUAAGGCGCCUAAAACGAUGCUCAUGGGAUACCAUGAAAGGCGUUGGUUGCUUAACGAUGUUGAUGUGCUGUCGAAUAAGUAUUAACUAUGGUUGUGCUUGACCACAUCGGCGAAAGGGAAUCCGUUUCCUAUUACGGAACCCAGCUGCGGAACCGACCAUGCGGGCCAAUGCGAAACCGUGACUCACCGUAUGUACCGCCCGCCCCGUGUUGUGUCUAAUCGCACUCACGGACGUGGGAAACGGCAUGCGCGUCACGUCGUCUAGCAACUCGUCGGGGUAACCCAAAGGGACCCGGAGACGCCGCCGGACGAUCGAGGCAGAGUUUUCUGUUCUGCAUAAGCAUUCGAGUUCCCUGGAAUCGCCUAGCGCGGAGAUAGGGUUUGGAAUGCGAAGAGCACCGCACUUGCGGCGGUGUCUCGAUCUGUCUCGCGGACCUUGAAAAUCCGGGAGAGGGCCACGUGGAGGUGUCGCGCUGGAUCGUACCCAUAUCCGCAGCAGGUCUCCAAGGUGAGCAGCCUCUAGUCGAUAGAA